This is a long non-coding RNA of Passer domesticus (house sparrow), 13603 nucleotides long. RefSeq lists it as uncharacterized. The transcript has 3 exons. The record is from RefSeq and is a predicted model, not a curated record. NCBI's taxonomy places the organism in Eukaryota, Metazoa, Chordata, Aves, Passeriformes, Passeridae.
CAGCAGAGCACCCCACUGCUCCUCCAGCUCUCUCCUCCUAGCAAAUGCAAUUUAUAAUCCUGGGCACAGGCAUAUGCAGUGGGGCACUUCUCCCCUCCAAGCAGGGGGCUGGACAAAGGGUGCGUGGAAAAAACUUAUCGCCCCACGCCAAGUUUGCCACUGACCUCCGUCCACCGCAGGAAGGGAGGCGUCCCCACAGUCCCCCCCAGGACAGCGCCCUGUGCCCCAGCCGCGGGCGGGAGAUGGCUCCGGGCGGCAGCAGGGAGCGGAGCUGCUGGGUGCCGCUCCCCGCCUGCCGCGGGAGGCACGGCGCUGACAAGCAGCCGCCGAGCAGCGCCGGAUCCCGGCGUGAGGGGCCGGGAGCGAUCCAGGCGGGAACGCGCGCGCAGCCAUGGAGCCGCUGCCGCGCGGGCCGUGCCGCCAGCGCCCCCUCGGGGCCGCCCUCGGCACCGCGGCCGCGCGGGGCCCCCGCGCUGCGGCCUCACCUGCGGCCCGCUACCGGGGCUACCGGGGAAAAAACCAACAAAAACACCAAAACAAAACAAAAAAAAUCAACCUGGAUUGCAAAAGGGUAGCCCGCAUGCCUCGCGCAUAUGCGUAACUGUCCCAGAGCUGCUUGCUUGAGUUAUGGCUCAUAAUUUUCAUGGAAAGUUCUCACAGUUCGCGACCCAGGAGAUCCCAAACAUAUGAUUUAAUCGGGCAUUAGUCAAUGUCGAAUUUUCCCCUUCCCGACACGUCGUCUGAUCUAUACCACAUUGUCAGCAUCUCCCUGCAGCAUGUGGGAGGCACAAGGCACCCUGAUGGAGGGCUGUGGAGGGAAGAGGGGAAAUCAAUGCUUGGAUUAGGAGCAACUGCAAACCCGGACAGAUGUGGCCCUUAAUGACACCGCAUGCUCAUUCUCAGCCUAUCGCUCCCAUGGCCCCUAACAUUUAUGGAAGAUGACAACGACUUAAGCCACCUUCCAGUGAACACAUUUCAGCACACUGACAUCGCCUUUAAACUCUCUUUUAAUUCUCUUCUUCCAGUGAGCAAACUGCCACCCUUAAACCCAAAUUACUCACAUGCUUGUAACCACAACCAAACUUCUGCUCUUAUUUACAGGGAUCCUCACUCAAAAGCUUUUACUUUGCAUUAAACCGCACACACAGCUCUUUGGGAUGUUGAGUCCAUGGUUUCUGAGUAACACAAAAGGAGUGGGAUAGGCAAUUACUUUAUGGAAAUGAAUAUCAAAUAUGCUACUGACUUGAGGAAAGGUGUGUCAUCCUGAUGUGUUUAUGGACACUAGUUAUCGUACUACAUGCUCCCUCCUCCUCAUGGUAAAAAUGGUUUGAAUGAUGAUUUUAUUUAGAAAACAAGUGCAUUUAUAUGCUAAUGACUUUUCGCUAUCCAUUGGUUAUUAUUUUCUUCUCCAAAAAUUUCAGGCAACCAAUCAACUGGAUUGGAAGAAAAACACUUUGCCAGAUUUUUUUUUGAAGAGCAAAAGAGUAUAGCUAUGUGAUUGAUUUCCACUAAGAACAAGACUUUAUGCAAUUUAGGCCACAAACCACUCCUCACAAACACCAAACAACUAACAGAUGGAGUGGGUAGUCUGCUAACAAAGCAGAGAUUGAAAUUGAAUUCCCCCAAAUGGUCUGGCAAAAAUCUGUGGAAAACAGGAUGUCUUUCUGAGCGAUUUGCAAAAGAAGAGAGGCCUGAAUUAGGGAACAAAUAUGCUAAAGCCCUAAGAAGAUCUACAUACUAGUAGUGUGGCAUUUGUUUUCCUUGAAGUUACUAGACUGGAUAGACAAUCCCAGAUUUAGACUGAGGCAGGAGAUGUUACUCUGAAGAAAGGCCUACCUCUUCCUCUCCCUGCAGCUGCUCCACACAGACUUAAGAAAAGGCAACAUAAAGACUCUCCCAGACUUUUACCUCUUACAGUCUUGAUGCUCUUGUCUUGUGAGGAGGCUCAGGUUAAUUCAAGACAGAAUUUAAGUUAAUUCAAGACAGAAUUUAAGUUAAUUCAAGACAGUAACAGAGCCUUUCUCCCUUUCCAUUUCUUCACUUCAGAACCAUAUAAAGAUUAGAGAGAGAUGAGGUUAUGAUUAGUCAGAAUAACUUUACUACUAACUAGGUGGCUCAGUUUGUGCAUUUAGUCACACAAUCAUACUAGAAACAGUUUGAUUACUGAACUAUCUUAUUGAAAAAGAUGAUGAGCAGGAAAAGUAUAUGUCAAAAGAGAAACUUUGACAUAUAUUAAUGCUCUGUGACAUUCAGAUUAUACCAUGUUGGGUUGGUUGUUUUGGUUGAGUUUUUUUGUAGGAUGUUGUGGCUUUGGACAGCAAGGUAAACUGAUUGCCUCCUGAAAGACCUGCGAAGUUGAGUCAAUUUCUGUCAGGAAGGAUUCUGGGAUCCCUGGUAUCCACUUGCUGUUAUGAAACAUUCCUUCAGAUCCACAGAAAUAGCUAUAAUUCUCUGUGGUUAAAGCUACCCAUUGGAAAAUCAGCUGAGAGAAGUGAUAGCAAUCAAGAAAGGUCUUGGGAAAUACGCAAUGUGGUAUGGUUGCUCCCCAGCAGAGUCUCCAGAACUGAAAGGUCAAGCAUUCAAGGCUUUCAGUGAAUCUUGUUUAUGAAAGUUUUGUAUGUUUGACCAUGACUAUGGUAAGAAAUCUCAGUCAGGGGGUUUUUAUCUCAAGGAGCUGUCUGACAAAGUUAAUGCUGCUUUUGUUAUAAUGCUUGGCUGAAGUGACUCUUCAAGAACGUCAUGCAGAAAGCCCUGGACAGCUAGGGCAGGCAAGGACUGUUCUCUCCACAGCCUGGAUUAAACCUGCUGUAGGUGAAAGGACAGGCUGAAGGCAUUCUGGAACCCCACAGCUGAUGUCUCUGUGUUUCUCUUCAGCCCCAUACCUCCCCACCCCUGCUUCUAAUCGAGAAGAGAAAGGAAAAGGAAAGGCCACUUGCUACUUCUCCUAAAAGAUUAAAACUGAUACCAACAAACAAUACGCUGCAGCUAAGAAAGCUUCCAUGGUCUUGCCUGGCACCAGGAAACUGAAGGGGAAAGCCCUGAUGGACAGCAACCAUAGAUGCUGCACAGCAAAUGGCUGUGAUUGUGAUGACAUAAAAUGCUUCUUUCUUUUGUGACAAAAUGAAUACACCUCUUCAUUAAAAUUAAAAUCUGUUGGUUUUCCUAAUGAUUCUACCAGAAAUACAUAGUCUGGAACUGUAUGGAGUGCUGUUAGCUUGGAAAAUUGCUCAACAAGUCAUCUCAACCAACAAAUCUUUGAUGAAGACCUCUAACCAGUGUGAUACCUUGGACUGUAUUUACAUGUCCUGAAUGCUACAUACAACCUUGGCUCCCUGGCAUCUAGAGUGCCCUUUUCAAUAGGAACUAUUAGGCUAAACAGAUUUGUAGUUUUGUCUGAAUUUCAGCUAUCUGGUCCUUAGUGCACCCAGCUCUCCCAAAUAAAAUCACAGCUAUGAAUACCGUGUAAGAACUGAGACAUUUCUUUCCAAUUCCCUCAUCUGAGCCCACAAUUUAUCCACAUUGCCUUCUGUGGCAGAAUAAUCAGGCACACCGUCGACUAAUAAAAACAGAGGAGACGGAAAGGCAUAACAAGAAAGCUGUACCGAACACUUUAUUCUGCCUGGGAUGUAGAAAUAAGACUUGACAUAAAGAAUAACUGCAAUGAGUAUAUGAUUUAUUGUUUAUACCAUGUCAUAAGACAAAACUCUCAGAUAUUAGUGGCCUAAUAAAGUGAUAUAAUGCUUGCUAUGUGUUUAUCCAUGUGGUAAAUAGAUAGCACAACUGACACUUGAAGCACUGUAAGGGGAACAAUGGCUAUAAAAUCAGAACUCUGCAAGGUAGUGGCAGAAUUUAUUGCUAAUUCCAUCCCUCAGGAAAUAAGGAAACAUUACUCUCCAGUAAUAUUCAAAUAUCUGGUGAAUUAAAAGAUUAUUGGUGACAACAUUCCAAUACUGCUCUCCUUUCCUCCAUCUUUCCUCUGCCAUGAGAGCAGGACAUGCAUUACAGGGUUUGCAGCCUGACAUAAAACUCUUGCAGCAUCUCAACACAAAAGAUGCUCAAACCUAAAAAUUCCAUUUUACAAAGAGGCUGAGAAUGAGACAUUGUUCCCAAUGCAGAAGGAAAGGUUUUCACAACAAAACAGCCCCCAGUGCCAUCUCUGCCACUGUGAUUCCUGCAUCAGCCUGCAUGGCCCAAGGAGCUGACUCCAGCAGAGUAAGGUGUGACCAUCUGCAUCUACUCUCCAUGAUAGCAUCCUGUGAGCAAGACUGCUACCUUAAUGAGGUGGAGAUGGCUCUUACUGAGUUGAACACUACACCCUGGAGUAGGAUAACCUUCUGGACAGAGAUAUUUGAAGAUUUCUGGUAAAUGUGAAUAUCAUAAAAAAUAUCCCAAACUCUAGCAGCUAUACCCCAUGAAAGGCCAAGCCUUCUAGCAUGCAGGUGGCAUCAAAUAUAUUUCCAAAUUCAAAACUCUCAGGCCACGCUGUCAAAGGUUCAUGUGAAGUGACGUCAUCUAUUUGUCUUCAGUGAGAAAAUGUUCAGCACAGUUCCCUCCCCGGUCCUCAUUUUUGGGUAGCUUGUUUGAGAUUGUUGUCUACACUCUGAUCCUUCACAAAGAGUUAUGCAAAAAUGAGGCUGUAGGGGGAUUAAAGCUUACUCUUAAAGAGCAAGAAUGGCAUAAUGGGGAAGUGAGCAUAUUAGAGGUGAACAAUGUCAUCUUGACUCAUUGUAGCAAAGAGGAAAUCCAAUCAAUAUGUCUAAGUUUUCCAGAAUACAGUAAUGAAAAAGUUGUUGGACAAACUGAAGAAUUCUUCUGUCUAUCAUGGAUCAUCUCUUUGUAUGAGAAAUGAAUCCCUUUGAAAGUGCCCCAGUCUAGUUCUAUUUUUCUUCAUAUCCAUAAUGCCCUCUAACUCAAGUGGUAAUUUUGCAGACUUAGACUUGCACUAAGUAAUACUUCUUCAUAUCAUGGGGAGACAGUAAUACCUCUUCUCAGCAAGUGCAAAUUGGCAAUAGUCUCUCCUACGAAGAGGCACAGCCUGCUUGUUCUUUCACUGCAAUAUUUAUGUCUGUCUCUGUAACUGUUCCUUUAGCUAGGAGCAAAACCCUAGUUAGGCAAAGCACUGGGAAACUGCCACAUGCUCCUGCAACUAUAUGUUGCCAUAAAAUAAUUCAAACACACUAUUAGAGUGUGUAAUUUAGCUCAUAUGUAGUUAGAAUAUGCAGAGUUUGCCAAGUGACUGCAUCCAGCUGGAAAAUCAAUUUAUAUAUGCCAGUUUAAUAAAACCUGAAAGUCUUCCGCAAUACAUGAAGAAAUGUUAGACAACGUUGAAAUUGUACAUUAUGUAAAACCAAACAUAGCUGUAAAUUACAGGCUGAGUGUGAAGGAUCAUUUGUCUCCUGCCAAAAUUCAUAUAAACGGUCACCAAUUUGGGGACAGAGGGGGAAACAUAGCAUAAUAAAAUGAAACUUUGUACAAUUCCAAGUAGAAGCUUCCAGGGCCAAAUUUUUGGUAGAAGAAACUUUAAAACAAAGUUGACUUUGGCCUUCAGCCCUCUCUUACUGAUUUAAAUCUGCAGUAGUCAGGGGCUACACUGGUGCUAAUGAAAACAGAAAACAGGUGAUUUAAUGGUGAAGAGGUAUUUCUAUGUACUAUAAGUGAGCCCUGAGCUCUCAGUCUGGCCUAACCACAUUGUUUGCCUGCAGAGUUCCCCCUUCACUCUCACUUUAGGAAGCGCUAUUUUCUUAUCCAUUAGGUGUGUUCUGUGCAUAUAAAUUCAGCCCAAGAAGCAUCUAGGCUACCCAUUCCCUUGCCUGGGCUCUGCUGCUGGCAGCCAAGGUGUCUCGUUAGGAAGAAUAAGGUGUUGCCUUGCGAUUGCCAUUGUGGUGUACAGGUGCAAAGCAGUGGGGUGUCACCAGUUCUGCUCUGGAGAGACAGAGAUCAGCAUUGCAAACUCCCACAGUGUGGAUGCUACUAAUUACUGGGCUUCCUUCUGCUCUCAGCAGGGGGAUGAAUAGAGAAAUGGCAUACAGAUACUCUGGGAGUAGCACUUCCUCCUCGCCCUAGUUCCUUUCUUGAAGCUGUAUAGGAUGAGUUGGGAAUGGCUGUGUUCAUGCAGGAGACAAACGUGACUUCAGUUGUCAGACCUAUCUCUUAGCACUUUUAACUAACAUGAGCAAACAAACUCUCAUUAGUGCUAGGGAACACAAAAAACUACAGGAGUGAGUCAGGCUUUAUCACACUAGGUUGUUUGCUCUGUUUUCCGGACAAACAACACAAGGCAGGAAAAACAACACUCAUCUGCAAAACACUUCCCAGACAUGUGUUCAUAUCUAAAAUAACUAUUUAGAUUAAAUUAACUCCUCAUCUGCAUUUGCAAAAAGGUUUCUCUGCACAGGUAAUGUGAGUAAAACAGAUAUUUAGUACACAUUGCUUGCAUGCUGCCUACACCACUCUGAAUAGGUCUCCCUUUCAGGGUGCUCUUGAUGCAAUGUGACCAAGAGUAGUCAGACAGAAAAUGUUUACAGGGCAGCCAAUGUGAAUUUAUGCUCUUGUAGUUAAUUGCUCUGACUUUGCUCUGAUCCCAAAAUAGGAAAGACAAAGACAUUUCAUUUAGCACUUAGUAUCUCAGGGAUCAGUUCUGUUCAUUGUAGCAUUACAAAAAUCUCAAGGAAACUCCAUUUAGAUCAAUGAUCAGAUUUAUGUCAACAAAAUCCUGGAAACUGAAUUUGGCCCAGUUUUUACCAUUUGCAUCCUAAAAGCAUUUCCAGCUUGUGCAUGUUGGAUGGAGAAGUUUUCAGAUAUUCUCGUUAUCAAGGCAAUUCCUCAGCCUUUCAGAUGAAUCAAAUUUUAGCUAGCUAUUUCAUCCAAGGUUGUAGGAAUCACUCCUUACUCACACGAACAAGGUCUUACGUUGCACCUUAACCUGUAAAUCCCCUCACCAGUCUCCUCAUUCACCCUCGCUUAGGGCAUGCUGUUUGUUGGCAGGGAGUAUUGGCACAAGUCUUUGUUUUCACAGAAUAUACAGUUUCACCUUGGCUUAGCACUUGACAUCCUCAGUAUCAAUGCAGCCACUCACAGAAGUAAAGGUCAUUGAUUUAAACCACAAGUAUUCAAGAUUGCUUUUUUACAAUCGCCACUGUCCAACAUACAAUUAGGCUUUAACGUGCAGAAUGUGUUUCAAGACCUGCCAGUAAUUUUCAUUCCAUAUACAGUAGUUUUUAUGCCAAUACAUGUGCUUUAUAUCUGAUGGCAAGAAUAUUUAAGAGGGUGGAAGGUCAAUCUUUUAUAGACAAUCCAAAAAAUAAAAUAAAAACUGAGAAAGAUAUGGAAAUGUGCGUACUCAGCAAGAACCCUAGCAGGAAAAGUUUUCUAGGUGAUUAAAUACAAAAGUGAGUGUUGUCCAAUUGGUAAAACCAUUGCAGGAUGUGUGUACACCAGUCACAGAAGUGCCUGGAAUGCAGAGCCAUUCAAGCUCAGCUUUUAACAAGGCAGUUGUGGACCUGGACACAGGCCAGAUAUAAAAGCCCUGGGCCCAGCAUGGGCUAAUUUACCAAGCUCUUAUGAUGGCAAUCUAAACUAACCAAGUUUAUUGGCUUUGAAACAAACUAGGAACACUCGCACAGCCAGUAACUAUUUGUCAGCUGGGGAGACAACAGUGAAGAGCUGAGCACAAAAAGAUAGACUAGACAACUUUUCUAACUCUCAUCCCCAAGGCACUCCUGACUGUGGCCUUAUACCCCAAAAAAAGAGAAAUAUAUACACGGCACCUAGUACAACUGUCUUUCCAGAUGCAACAGUUCCAGUUUAAAGUCUAUUCACCCACAACUAGUUCUUCUUCCCUUCACUGAAAUACAACUAUUGAUAAAAUACAUAAAGCAAUAUUCCACUGUGGUUUGAAAUAGACAUACUGGCACAGGAGAAAAAUUCGGGAGUUAUUAUAUCAUUUAACUUAUAUCAGUGUGAUGAAAGCAAUGCAAAUGAUACAUGUAGAUAAAUUUCAGACUACCAUGCAAGGUAAAAAUAACAGCUAUUGCUAUGUACCAAACUCGAUUUCAAUACCUCGGCAUGAACAGUUUCUAACUAGGCCACACUCAAGCUUUCUGAUGGAUGCGAACCACAUAACAUCACUGGAAUUACUCCAGUUCACCUCCAAAUGUAAUCGGCUCAAUGCAAUUAAGCCAAAGCUCUCUUCACCUUCAAAGAAAAAAAAAAAGAAACUUCAACUUCCUUAAAGAGUACUGGAAAGCAGGGAAAAUAACUUUCAGAAAAAUGUUUUCACUCCUAAAUAAAGACCUUUCCACAUAUUGCACCAAUUUCAUGCUCAAUUCAGAUAAGCAAUAAAUAUGUAUGCUAUUUUGUUUAGCUUGAUUUUGCCUUCAGUUUGGUGAGUUUGUGUUUAAAAAUGAGGAAAGUAGAUCUACCAUUGUUAAUAACAAAAAAUAAGGCUUGUCUUUUAAAUCAGAGGGUAAUAAUGUUUUUGAGAUUUGAAUCACAAAGUUCUUCAUCUUCUACCCUUGACCAUAUUCAGAGAGAGAUAGGAAUAUGUGCCAAUCUUUAUGAAACAGACCAAAAACUAGUAUCAGUAAGAAGGCAAGCCCCUAGAUUUUCAUCUUGAGGGUUAAAGGAGCCUACUCGCUCCAUAGUCUGCCAGGAUUUUUUGCUGCUAGCAGGAAUUGUGCGCUUAAUCCUCCACUCCCUCCUUGGAUGCAACCCUAGCAAGAAGUGAAUGACAGUUAUAUCAUGAGGGAGUACCACACCACCAGUCCCCAUAAAUACGUAUCACUCAAGAGUGCUUUGAGGAUGUAGCCUUUGAUUCCAGUGGGGACAAAUUUAUCUUUAGCCCUGGAGAGACCCACAAGAUGGUUCUGUCACUAGCUCUAAUGAGAGACACAGAUCAGUCACUCAACACAUAGGAGGUUCAAGUGAGGGAGAAGGCUUUCCCUUUAAAAUCCAGACCCUCACAAGUAAUUUUCAGCUAGGUUUACAAAAGUCAAAUCUGAGACACUAGUCAUGAUCUACUAGUGUAGAACAGAACAAGAUGGUGAGAAGACAAUCCAAGUUUCUAUGGACAAAGAAAAAGAUGUGGGAUUUUUGACAAACAGUUGAUGAAUGGGAGAGAUACAGCUGAAAAGCAAUGGUUUUCCAGUUCUGAAGUAGCUUCCUCCAAAAAGAGGUCUUGACCCAAAAGAAGGAAUUGCAGAUAAGGCAUUCAGUACUGCCAUAAAUAUUUUGAGGUGAAAGAGAAUGAGGUCAGGUAUCUGUAUCACUUACAUUUUUAAGAUUUCCAGAGCAUAAGCCCUUCUGUCAUCAUACAAUAAUUUUAGCCAAAGCAUCUAACAUGGAAAACAGCAUUUCGGAUCCAUUUUUAUUGCAUAUUUAGUUUCUAAACAACAAAUUACUACCAUUUCAAGGGGGCUGCAUUUAGUUGAAAACUGACAGUCAUAUACAUUAUCUACGUAUGUUUGGCAGAAGAGAAUAUGGGAUAAAUUUCUGAAGCUAACUUUUACUGAAAUCACUUUAUUGAAUAAAAAAAAAAAAAAGGAAGAAAGAAAAGUUGAAAGCCAUUGUGUACUGUGAAGAUAUUGACACUUUUGAAACGGAAAGGGCAUAUAGGUCUCUAGCUCCAGGUCCGUUCGUUGAAGAAUCUUGUUGGGCUGUAAUAAUCAAACUUGUAAGAUUUAAAGAAAAGGAGAUAAUUCUGAUAAAGGCAAUACAAUACCCUAAAGGAAAAAAAGCAGAGGAUAUAGAAAGGUGAGAGAGAGUUCAAAUUUUUGCCUGUUCUACCCAAAAAGAAAAGACAAGAGAAGAAAGGAUCAGUUGAAUUUGAGUCUUUACUGCCAAGAGGGGAAAAAAAAGUGAGACAUGAAAUUUUGCAACCUACAACCCCCAUAAUAACAGCAGGAACCAUCACAAUCUAGCACAGGCAGUUGAACAGUUUAUCAAGGAGAUUUUUCCUCUGCCGUGGAUUUCACUGUUGCAGCAGCACAUAGGCUUUUCCAUGUUACUUGGCCCUAUUCCAUGGCUUUUAUUGAAGAUUAAGGCUUGAAAGAGAAGAGAAAGCAAACAGAAAACAAGUACAGGCUCAAAAUCUUGAUGGAAGUUUAUACUGUGAGUCUGCCUUGUUGCUUUAAACACAAUUGUUUUAGCUGCAGGCAUUACAGUUUCAAACUGUGAAUAGUUUAAAGGCUUACUGAAUGUGAUUUUAUGGAGACAUUAAGUGUUUUAAUUUCCAUGCUUAUUUCCAAUUCAUCAUAUCCCAUCCUUAAAAGGAAAACCAGCCCAACAUAUUUUCAUGUUUCUCAUUAGAAGGUAUAAGUUCCAGUAAAAUAUGAAGUGGAGGGCAUAAAUGGGAAGUGGGAAACUGUCUUUGGUCAAGUCAAGCAGCAGAAGCAUGAGCUUGUACAUAAUUACUUUUAAUACUAUGUGGAAAGCUGGAACUGAUGAGAAUCUGAUUUUCAGAGUGCUAAGUUUUCCAAGCUCUACUUUGUUAUGUUGAGUUUGCAGGUGCUCAGCCCUAUUUAGAAGGCUGACAGUAAGUUAUGAACUCUUUUUGUCAUGGAGAGAUGUCCAAAUGUAAACCAGUGCACUGAGUCAGCUCCUGGGCUGCCCAUGUGCUCCCUCCACCACCAGAGUAUUCUCUGACAUGCAAACAGAAACAACCCUUGGUGCCUUGUGGCUCACUUCUGUACUCUAGAAUCUCAAAUGCCAAAUAUGAUUAUUGUGUGACACCAGGUCAUAAGAGGAGCAAUAUCUUCCAGGAUUGGGGGUGUCACAGCAGCAUGGGGAAUCCUGCACAGACUGCUUGCUUCUGCCUCAUCCUGCUGCAUAAGCCCAGGCAGGGUACUUGCUGUCUCUGUGCUCCUCCUUUCUCCCCUCUCCAUUUGUCUGUCCUGCUAUCCACUGCUGGGGUUUAUAACCAGAGGGGCACUGCAAAAGCAGAAGAGAGAGGCCUUCUCCAAUUGGUGUAUCCCACAUCCAACCUCAAGUUUUCACCAAGGAAUUCCUGCAGAGCAAAGAAUUUGUAACAUCCCAAGCCUGUGAGAGGACUAACAUGAACUUUGCCUCUCUAAGGGCAUCUCAACCCCACACCCCCCAGCAUUAAGGAGGGCCUCCAGGAACAUUUUCCAUGUGUCCCACCAUAGCUGUUACUCCUUACACAAUAUCCCAGGUGAUGAGGCUAAGGAGAGCAAGGCAGGGAGCAUGACUGCAGCCUGGCAUCCAGGGCAGUCACCUGGAGGGGAAGCAGGUAUCCAGCAGUGCUUCAAGGCCCUUCUCUGUGAACACAGUAUAUUUUUUAACUGCUGGGCGUGUAGCAUGAGGAGCAGGAAGCAGAAACAGCGACCCAAGUCCCCUGUGGAUCCAGCCUCUGUUUUAUUAUGUGCAUGUGCAGCAAUGUUAUACAGCAGACCUCUGGUCUGGUUUUGUGUCUUCAGGCUGCAGUUUAAUGAUGAAUAAUUAGGUUUUGGACAGCUCUUGGCAAGGCUGCCACUGAAUACUUUAUGCUGUAAUGGAUGUUAAUCUGAAAAUUGUGUUUGCAGUUCUGUUUGAUCAUCUGUAAUGAAAGUGGUCAAAUUGUAAUUUGGUCUUAGUAAAAAAAAAUAAAUAAAUUACCAAAUUUAUUUCAAAUCCUACCCUUGCUUUAUACCAGUAAAAACAAGCAAGGAUUCCAUUACAUCCAGUCAUCUUACAGAACAACAAGAGAUGAAAAAAAUUUUUUCAAAAAUAAUUUUAAAGGGUUAAGGGUUCAACUGAAUCAUCAAAUUGUGGGAAUUAGAGUUUUCCUACAUAGGCAGCUUAGAGCUCUAUCAUCACAACAUACCAAGAUACAAAAAUAUAAAUAUUAAGUUAUAUUAAAUGUUUCAAAACAUUGUAUCUUCCAAGGUACCUCGUUUUGCAUUUGACUCUGCUAGAAAUUGCAAACAUUUUCCUCAAAAAUGCCAAAAUGCAAGAGAGUGUCAAAGAAUAAAUGGUACCUGUGUGUCAAACAUUGCUCCCACAUCUUGUGACAGAUAUGAAACACAGACUGAACUGACUAAAACACCAAUCAAAAUACAUCCACAAGUGAUUUCACCUUCUUAUGAGCCAAACCUUCACCUAGAAAACUGUGUGAAAUUCAGAAUAGUUCCUGACUAUAUCAGCAUGGAUGAGAAAGGACGUGGCAUCAGAACCAGACGGUGUGACACAGACAUGUGACCCAGCAAGACAGUGGCAGAAGCACAAAUUAUGGUACAAACACAAAAUAUUUUUUUAAAUCUUCAUACAGAUAAUAGCUGAGGGAUUAAUCAGUGACUGAAACAGUUAAAACAUUUUAACAAUGUUGAAGUGAGAACUGACAAAAUAGGGCAGAUGUCUGUCCAAGAAUGCCGUGUUGCUCAUGCAGUGUCCCCGCCUCUGUGACAGUGUUGUGAUGGGACUCUGAGUGAUACUGGCCUGAAAGGCUGAAACAAAGGGGAUUGCAUCCUGAAGUCUUUAUGGGGAUACAUUUCCACUGAUUUUAAUGAGCGAGAGACAGGCUAGAGCCAAUGGCAGUUUAGUCUGGAUAAGCAAGGAGACACAAAUGAAUAAAGAUUUCAGCAUUUGCCUUUUCCUUUGUAAAGAAAUAAUAAAAAUAUACUGCACAUGUUGCCUAUCUGUCAGCUAAAUUCAUUUUAUCUACAACACUUUAUUGGUCUCAUGCAGCUCUAGAGAACAAUUGAAAUCUCAAAUUACAAAACCACCUAGUUUAAGGCUUGAUAAGUGCUGAAGCCCUCAGACCCUGAAAUACAGUCUCCAAGUUCCCAUUCAAAUUGUCAUCAAAGCUAUACUCCAACAUUAAGUCCAUGUCAGCCUUAGUGGAAGCAGAUGAGGACUACAGCUGCAUCUGGUUUGACUUCCCUUUAAUAACUGCAGCCAAUUGAGCCAUAUCAAAGAAAAUGCAAAAAUCUCAGGCCACGAGUGACUCUUCCAAGGAGAGUUUUCAGUACUAGGGAGAACACAGAUGGUAAACUUCAAGAGCAGGAAGCCUAUAGCUAACCUACCUUCUCCUGACUUCCUCCUAUUGUAACAAAGGAAUCCUUCAUUCAGCAGAAACUAUUCCUACCUUAUACAAUGCCUUAGAAAACUGGUGUCAAACAUUACAGUCUGCUGAAAUUACUGAUGUUAAAUCAACCACCGAUCAAUUAUUUUUGAAGCCUGCUGUCAGCUCACCUGCCAAAAAAGCUGUGAUUUGCUAAAUAUGCUUGUCAUUUUGCUUCAAACGGAUUUCACAAAACAUGUGUGUUUCAAAACUGCUUACUAGAAUAACGACACAGGGAUUUCUGCAUGAAAAUCAACAGCACCAGAAGCCUACAAUGUUUUGUCAAGUAAAGAACAGAGAAACAACACAGCAGUCCCUUGAGAACUACAGAAUCCAAAUCUUCUAGCUGAAUAGCUGAGAGCUCAGAGAUGCAUCCAGGCUCUUACACAUGGAGCUGGAUGGUGGUCAUGUGGGCUGCAAGGACAUGGUUCUCUUGUCUCCACGAAGGAUAACCCAGUCAAAGAAAUGUCAAUAGCAGCAAACAGAAACAGAACACAAACAACACUACUUCUUUUUCCCUCUAGGGAAACUUGCCUAGUGAUUGUGAAU